UUAGGUUGGUGCAAAAGUAACUGUGGUUUUUGCCAUUGAAAGUAAUGGCAGAAACUGCAAUUACUUCUGCACCAACUUAAUA
Molecule: microRNA precursor, 82 nt
Organism: Rhinopithecus bieti (black snub-nosed monkey)
Lineage: Eukaryota; Metazoa; Chordata; Mammalia; Primates; Cercopithecidae
Source: Ensembl